CCUACGGGGGGCAGCAGUGAGGAAUAUUGGUCAAUGGGCUUACGCCUGAACCAGCCAAGUCGCGUGAGGGAAGACUGCCCUAUGGGUUGUAAACCUCUUUUGUCAGGGAGCAAUUGGCGCUACGUGUAGCGUUAUCGAGAGUACCUGAAGAAAAAGCAUCGGCUAACUCCGCGCCAGCAGCCGCGGUAAUACGGAGGAUGCGAGCGUUAUCCGGAUUUAUUGGGUUUAAAGGGUGCGUAGGCGGAUUUUUAAGUCAGCGGUAAAAUGUCCGGGCUCAACCCGGGCCGUCCGUUGAAACUGGGGAU
This 305-nucleotide ribosomal RNA is filed under the name uncultured bacterium. RNAcentral describes it as "bacterial SSU rRNA". It matches the Rfam family "Bacterial small subunit ribosomal RNA", at positions 338 to 640 of the family's 1533-position model. The record is from RNAcentral.